AAUGAAUCAACGAGUUGACAGCGGCGAGCAACGACGUUCAUCGAAGUUUUGCGGAUAAAAAGCGAUUUAAAAUUGAUAACUUGUCAAAUAAAAUUGAUUUAAUAUAAUUAUUUGACUUGUGGGAUUCAUUUGGCUACAAGUAUAUACUUGGAUUUUGAGGUUUUCGUUUUUUUUUAACUGUGGACGCUAAUUUAAAGCGGUUGAUUUACGAGAAGAAAGAAGAAUAGAGCAAAGCGGCGACGGCUACUGCGACAGUCUAAAAAAAGGGGGAAAAGAGGAAGAAAAGCGAUAGCAGCGAAGCAGUCGGUUAACGACAGCGACAUUAGUGCCGGAGCAGAAGCAGAAGUAAAACGUUUGUCAAAGAGAAAAAAUUCGUAGUAGAGAAAAGUAAAAAUUGAAUUUCGGAAACGCAGGCGACGACGAAAAAAGUGUAGAACGCUGAAAAUUUUUGUUUUAAUACAACGCCGACGCUAAAUUAAAUAUUUCAUUAGAAACUUUCUAAAAGUUUAAUAUCUGAGGAUUUUAUUAACGCAAUUAACAGAAUGUCGGAACGUGAAAAUAAUGUGUACAAGGCCAAAUUGGCUGAACAAGCUGAACGUUAUGAUGAAAUGGUUGAAGCUAUGAAAAAAGUUGCUUCCCUCGAUGUUGAACUAACUGUUGAAGAGCGAAAUCUACUUUCAGUCGCUUAUAAGAAUGUAAUUGGCGCUCGACGUGCUUCAUGGCGUAUAAUUACCUCAAUUGAGCAAAAAGAGGAAAAUAAAGGCGCUGAGGAGAAGCUUGAAAUGAUCAAAACCUACCGUGGGCAGGUGGAGAAAGAGUUACGCGAUAUUUGUUCCGAUAUUUUGAAUGUGCUAGAAAAUCAUCUCAUUAAAUGCGCCACCACAGGUGAAAGCAAAGUAUUCUAUUAUAAGAUGAAGGGUGAUUAUCAUCGCUAUUUGGCUGAAUUUGCUACUGGAUCGGAUCGUAAGGAUGCGGCAGAAAAUUCACUUAUUGCUUACAAGGCUGCCAGCGAUAUUGCAAUGAAUGAUCUUCCGCCAACACAUCCCAUUCGUUUGGGUUUGGCGUUAAACUUUUCGGUAUUUUAUUAUGAAAUUCUUAAUUCGCCCGAUCGCGCUUGUAGAUUAGCGAAAGCUGCAUUCGACGAUGCCAUUGCCGAGCUAGAUACCUUAAGCGAAGAGAGCUACAAAGAUUCCACACUUAUCAUGCAAUUACUGAGGGAUAAUCUUACAUUAUGGACGUCUGAUAUGCAGGCUGAUGGUGAUGGCGAACAAAAACCGGAAAUUCAAGAUGUUGAAGAUCAGGAUGUGUCGUAAUUUAAGUAACCCCACCUUACUUAAUUAUAAAAUCCCUUCUAUAUACCUUUUCCUACUGUAAUACAGCAGCAGCAACCACACACACAAACACAUUAAAACGAGAAACAUUAUAAUACACUACAACAACAAUGAAAAAACACUUGAAACUAAAAUAUAACUCAAACAAAUUCCUCCUGCCCCGCUCCCAUUCAAUGUGUGAAAAUUUUUGCAUUAAACAUAAUUAUUAAAAUCAGAAUUAUUAUUAAAACAACAAAAUAAUGAUUAUUAAUAAUUACGGUAAUGAUAAAUACAUCAGUAUAAAAAUAAAUAUAAUAAAAAUCAACACUAAUUAUUUUAGAGCAUAAUAACAUUUAACCUAGAAAACAGGCAAUACAUUCGCACUCACACAGUUAAUCGUUGCAAACGCAACAUUCAGAAUGUAAUAGAAGAAAAUCGAGUUUAUUUUAAGGAUUCUACAAUAAAGAAAUAUUAAGAGAAGAGGAUAGAAAAUAGUAAUAAAGAAACAAUUGUAUCAAUCAAAUAAAAAUGAGCGAAUUACAGUCAACAAAAGUGAUGGAAGAAUUGAUGAGAACUUAUCUUAGAAAUACUAGACAUAAAGUUUGAAAUGGUAAACAACGCAUAAAUAAACGAAUAAUAUAACAUGAUGGAUAAA
This 1965-nucleotide unclassified non-coding RNA is filed under the name Bactrocera tryoni. RNAcentral's name for it is "14-3-3 protein epsilon, transcript variant X1". Lineage: Eukaryota; Metazoa; Arthropoda; Insecta; Diptera; Tephritidae. The record is from RNAcentral.